RNAcentral lists this ribosomal RNA (465 nucleotides) under uncultured bacterium. RNAcentral describes it as "partial 16S ribosomal RNA". It matches the Rfam family "Bacterial small subunit ribosomal RNA", at positions 28 to 507 of the family's 1533-position model. The record is from RNAcentral.
GACGAACGCUGGCGGCGUGCUUAACACAUGCGAGUCGAACGGAAAGGCCCUGCUUGCAGGGUACUCGAGUGGCGAACGGGUGAGUAACACGUGGGUGAUCUGCCCUGCACUUCGGGAUAAGCCUGGGAAACUGGGUCUAAUACCGGAUAGGAGCCAUUUUUAGUGUGAUGGUUGGAAAGUUUUUUCGGUGUAGGAUGAGCUCGCGGCCUAUCAGCUUGUUGGUGGGGUAAUGGCCUACCAAGGCGGCGACGGGUAGCCGGCCUGAGAGGGUGGACGGCCACAUUGGGACUGAGAUACGGCCCAGACUCCUACGGGAGGCAGCAGUGGGGAAUAUUGCACAAUGGGCGCAAGCCUGAUGCAGCGACGCCGCGGGGGGGAUGACGGCCUUCGGGUUGGAAACUCCUUUCGCUAGGGACGAAGCUUUUUGUGACGGUACCUAGAUAAGAAGCACCGGCUAACUACGUG